This 112-nucleotide ribosomal RNA is filed under the name uncultured eukaryote. RNAcentral's name for it is "partial small subunit ribosomal RNA". It matches the Rfam family "Eukaryotic small subunit ribosomal RNA", at positions 1675 to 1785 of the family's 1831-position model. The record is from RNAcentral.
GUCGCUACUACCGAUUGGGAAAAUUUCAGAAUGCUUAGGACUGUGGCUUGUUUGGCCUUUGGCUUUACUCGUCGCGGAAAUAAGUAUAAUGAUAUUUUCCUAGAGGAAGUAA